RNAcentral lists this ribosomal RNA (240 nucleotides) under uncultured eukaryote. Its description in RNAcentral is "partial 18S ribosomal RNA". It matches the Rfam family "Eukaryotic small subunit ribosomal RNA", at positions 1208 to 1456 of the family's 1831-position model. The record is from RNAcentral.
GGAAAUCUCACCAGGCCCAGACACUGGAAGGAUUGACAGAUUGAUAGCUCUUUCUUGAUUCGGUGGGUGGUGGUGCAUGGCCGUUCUUAGUUGGUGGAGCGAUCUGUCUGGUUAAUUCCGAUAACGAACGAGACCCCAACCUGCUAACUAGCCCUCGGGUCCUGCUUCUGUUGGGCCCGACGGAAUGAUUCGCUUCUUAGAGGGACUCGCGGCGCCUAGCCGCACGAAGGGGGGCGAUAA